Molecule: ribosomal RNA, 253 nt
Filed under: uncultured bacterium
Lineage: Bacteria
Description: partial 16S ribosomal RNA
Rfam family: Bacterial small subunit ribosomal RNA
Source: RNAcentral
UACGUAGGGGGCAAGCGUUGUCCGGAUUUAUUGGGCGUAAAGAGCGUGUAGGCGGCUUUACAGGUCCGUUGUGAAAACUCGAGGCUCAACCUCGAGACGCCGGUGGAAACCGUAAAGCUAGAGUCCGGAAGAGGAGAGUGGAAUUCCUGGUGUAGCGGUGAAAUGCGCAGAUAUCAGGAGGAACACCCGUGGCGAAAGCAGCUCUCUGGGACGGUACUGACGCUGAGACGCGAAAGCGUGGGGAGCAAACAGG